GCCUGCCUAGCUCAAUCGGAUAGAGCGUAAGACUUUUACGCUCAAAGUAAGGCGGUGAAAUCUUAAGGCUGCGGGUUCGACCCCCGCGGUGGGCU
This is a non-coding RNA of Steccherinum ochraceum, 95 nucleotides long. NCBI's taxonomy places the organism in Eukaryota, Fungi, Basidiomycota, Agaricomycetes, Polyporales, Steccherinaceae. The record is from the annotation of a GenBank genome assembly.